Molecule: long non-coding RNA, 514 nt
Organism: Anguilla rostrata (American eel)
Lineage: Eukaryota; Metazoa; Chordata; Actinopteri; Anguilliformes; Anguillidae
Exons: 2
Source: RefSeq, a predicted model, not a curated record
CGUCAACCAAUUGGAGAGAAGUUAGCAAGUUUGGUUAAUCCAAGAUUAGCCCAUGACGAGAAAUUAAGAAGAGUGAAGACAAUUACUAGUCCUGUCUGGCAAUCAUAAUAUGCAAACAGGAAUUGGGCAAAUUAGGCCAUGAUACUGGCCAAAGUGAGUUACAGGGCUAGCUGGAUCUACCUGAUUGAGAAUUCACCCAUCUACCUACGGCCGCAGCCAAUCCCAAAGUGGAAAGAUGCCAAAGAUGAUUCACUUUACAUGGUGAAUGAAUGAAUGCUGUGUACAGAGUACUGGGAUGGGGCACACCCAGGGGCCUUCUGUAGAUCUGUCGCCCUCUAGUGUUAAUAAACCAGUAGAUGCAGCAGAAGCUGUGCUCACAUUGGCUCAGCCUAUGAACAUUAUCCAGUUAACCCCACACAGCUGCAUAUUUACCGCCUUGAGGACCGAAUAGUACAUAUGAGAGUAAAUUCAUUCAAUGGAGCAAGAUAAUAUUAAUAAUUGAUGACCAUAUGUA